This 799-nucleotide ribosomal RNA is filed under the name Caulobacter sp. AKB-2008-PU8. RNAcentral describes it as "bacterial SSU rRNA". It matches the Rfam family "Bacterial small subunit ribosomal RNA", at positions 11 to 857 of the family's 1533-position model. The record is from RNAcentral. Lineage: Bacteria; Pseudomonadati; Pseudomonadota; Alphaproteobacteria; Caulobacterales; Caulobacteraceae.
GUUUGAUCCUGGCUCAGAGCGAACGCUGGCGGCAGGCCUAACACAUGCAAGUCGAACGGAUCCUUCGGGAUUAGUGGCGGACGGGUGAGUAACACGUGGGAACGUGCCCUUUGGUUCGGAACAACUCAGGGAAACUUGAGCUAAUACCGGAUAAGCCUUUCGAGGGAAAGAUUUAUCGCCAUUGGAGCGGCCCGCGUAGGAUUAGCUAGUUGGUGGGGUAAAGGCCCACCAAGGCUACGAUCCUUAGCUGGUCUGAGAGGAUGAUCAGCCACAUUGGGACUGAGACACGGCCCAAACUCCUACGGGAGGCAGCAGUGGGGAAUCUUGCGCAAUGGGCGAAAGCCUGACGCAGCCAUGCCGCGUGAAUGAUGAAGGUCUUAGGAUUGUAAAAUUCUUUCACCGGGGACGAUAAUGACGGUACCCGGAGAAGAAGCCCCGGCUAACUUCGUGCCAGCAGCCGCGGUAAUACGAAGGGGGCUAGCGUUGCUCGGAAUUACUGGGCGUAAAGGGAGCGUAGGCGGAUAGUUUAGUCAGAGGUGAAAGCCCAGGGCUCAACCUUGGAAUUGCCUUUGAUACUGGCUAUCUUGAGUACGGAAGAGGUAUGUGGAACUCCGAGUGUAGAGGUGAAAUUCGUAGAUAUUCGGAAGAACACCAGUGGCGAAGGCGACAUACUGGUCCGUUACUGACGCUGAGGCUCGAAAGCGUGGGGAGCAAACAGGAUUAGAUACCCUGGUAGUCCACGCUGUAAACGAUGAGUGCUAGUUGUCGGCAGGCAUGCCUGUCGGUGACGCAGCUAACG